This 297-nucleotide long non-coding RNA is filed under the name Brassica napus (rape). Its description in RNAcentral is "long non-coding RNA (BNAP_LNC004131)". Lineage: Eukaryota; Viridiplantae; Streptophyta; Magnoliopsida; Brassicales; Brassicaceae. The record is from RNAcentral.
GCUGCCUUCUUCCCUGGAGACGUCCUAGUCGAAGUCCUCGACGCUUUAGCAGGUCUCUCCUUCGCCUUAGGCUUCGCAGCAACCGCCUUGGUCUUCGAAACAGCAGCUACACUCUUCGUCUUAGGUUUGGGCUUCGCAGCGGCUUUAGUUGUUGCUGUUGUCUUUGCCUUAGGCUUAGCAGCAGCAGCAGGUUUCUUGGCUCCUUUAGCAGCCGGUUUGGCCUUAGCAGGAGCUUUACCCUUCGGUUUAGUAACAGCAGCAGCUGGUUUCUUGUUAACCGGUUUAGUCGUAGCCGCC